RNAcentral lists this ribosomal RNA (459 nucleotides) under uncultured bacterium. RNAcentral's name for it is "partial 16S ribosomal RNA". It matches the Rfam family "Bacterial small subunit ribosomal RNA", at positions 338 to 795 of the family's 1533-position model. The record is from RNAcentral.
CCUACGGGUGGCAGCAGUGAGGAAUAUUGGUCAAUGGGAGGAAUCCUGAACCAGCCAUGCCGCGUGCAGGACGACGGCUCUACGAGUUGUAAACUGCUUUUGUACCGGGGUAAAAUGCUCUACGAGUAGGGUUUUGAAAGUACGGUACGAAUAAGGAUCGGCUAACUCCGUGCCAGCAGCCGCGGUAAUACGGAGGAUCCGAGCGUUAUCCGGAUUUAUUGGGUUUAAAGGGUGCGCAGGCGGAUUUUUAAGUCAGCGGUCAAAUCGUGGGGCUCAACCCCAUCCAGCCGUUGAAACUGGGGAUCUAGAGUGUGCGAGAGGUAUGCGGAAUGCGUGGUGUAGCGGUGAAAUGCAUAGAUAUCACGCAGAACCCCGAUUGCGAAGGCAGCAUACCGGUGCACAACUGACGCUCAGGCACGAAAGCGUGGGUAUCGAACAGGAUUAGAUACCCUUGUAGUC